GACGAUGAUGUGCGAAGCGUGGGGAUCAAACAGGAUUAGAUACCUGGUAGUCCACGCUGUAAACGAUGAGUGCUAAGUGUUAGGGGGGUGUCCGCCCCUUAGUGCUGCAGCUAACGCAUUAAGCACUCCGCCUGGGGAGUACGACCGCAAGGUUGAAACUCAAUGGAAUUGACGGGGACCCGCACAAGCGGUGGAGCAUGUGGUUUAAUUCGAAGCAACGCGAAGGGCCUUACCAAAUCUUGACAUCCUUUGACCGCUCUAGAGAUAGAGUCUUCCCCUUCGGGGGACAAAGUGACAGGUGGUGCAUGGUUGUCGUCAGCUCGUGUCGUGAGAUGUUGGGUUAAGUCCCGCAACGAGCGCAACCCUUAAGCUUAGUUGCCAUCAUUAAGUUGGGCACUCUAAGUUGACUGCCGGUGACAAACCGGAGGAAGGUGGGGAUGACGUCAAAUCAUCAUGCCCCUUAUGAUUUGGGCUACACACGUGCUACAAUGGACAAUACAAAGGGCAGCUAAACCGCGUGGUCAAGCAAAUCCCAUAAAGUUGUUCUCAGUUCGGAUUGUAGUCUGCAACUCGACUACAUGAAGCGGAAUCGCUAGUAAUCGUAGAUCAGCAUGCUACGGUGAAUACGUUCCCGGGUCUUGUACACACCGCCCGUCACACCACGAGAGUUUGUAACACC
RNAcentral lists this ribosomal RNA (679 nucleotides) under Staphylococcus warneri. RNAcentral's name for it is "bacterial SSU rRNA". It matches the Rfam family "Bacterial small subunit ribosomal RNA", at positions 742 to 1421 of the family's 1533-position model. The record is from RNAcentral. Lineage: Bacteria; Bacillati; Bacillota; Bacilli; Caryophanales; Staphylococcaceae.